AAUGAACGCUGGCGGUAUGCCUAACACAUGCAAGUCGAACGACAGCACAGUAAGUGCUUGCUCAUACGUGUGUCGAGUGUCGGACGGUUGAGGUAGACAUCGGAUUCUACUUUUUCGGGGGGGAUAACGUAGGGAAACUUACUCUAAUACCGCAUACGACCUCCGUGGGUAAGCAGGGGAUCGUUUUACCUUUCGCUAUGGAAUAAGCCUAUGUCGGAUUCGCUAGUUGGCUGGUUAAAGGCCCAGCAAAGCGACGAUGCGUAGAUGGUCUGAGAGGAUGAUCAGACACCCUGGAACUGAGAAACGGUCCAGACUCCUACGGGAGGCAGCAGUGGGGAAUCUUGGACAAUGGGGGAAAGCCUGAUACAGCCAUACCGCGUGAGUGAAGAAGGAGUUCGGGUGGUAAAGCCAUUUUGUUGGGAAAGAAAAGCAGCAGGUUAAUACCCCGCUGUUAUGACGGUACCCAAAGAAUAAGCACCGGCUAACUUCGUG
This 492-nucleotide ribosomal RNA is filed under the name uncultured bacterium. RNAcentral describes it as "partial 16S ribosomal RNA". It matches the Rfam family "Bacterial small subunit ribosomal RNA", at positions 29 to 507 of the family's 1533-position model. The record is from RNAcentral.